GACGAACGCUGGCGGCGUGCUUAACACAUGCAAGUCGAACGGAAAGGCCCUGCUUUUGUGGGGUGCUCGAGUGGCGAACGGGUGAAUAACACGUGAGUAACCUGCCCUUGACUUUGGGAUAACUUCAGGAAACUGGGGCUAAUACCGGAUAGGAGCUCCUGCUGCAUGGUGGGGGUUGGAAAGUUUCGGCGGUUGGGGAUGGACUCGCGGCUUAUCAGCUUGUUGGUGGGGUAGUGGCUUACCAAGGCUUUGACGGGUAGCCGGCCUGAGAGGGUGACCGGCCACAUUGGGACUGAGAUACGGCCCAGACUCCUACGGGAGGCAGCAGUGGGGAAUAUUGCACAAUGGGCGGAAGCCUGAUGCAGCAACGCCGCGUGCGGGAUGACGGCCUUCGGGUUGUAAACCGCUUUCGCCUGUGACGAAGCGUGAGUGACGGUAAUGGGUAAAGAAGCACCGGCUAACUACGUGCCAGCAGCCGCGGUGAUACGUAGGGUGCGAGCGUUGUCCGGAUUUAUUGGGCGUAAAGGGCUCGUAGGUGGUUGAUCGCGUCGGAAGUGUAAUCUUGGGGCUUAACCCUGAGCGUGCUUUCGAUACGGGUUGACUUGAGGAAGGUAGGGGAGAAUGGAAUUCCUGGUGGAGCGGUGGAAUGCGCAGAUAUCAGGAGGAACACCAGUGGCGAAGGCGGUUCUCUGGGCCUUUCCUGACGCUGAGGAGCGAAAGCGUGGGGAGCGAACAGGCUUAGAUACCCUGGUAGUCCACGCUGUAAACGGUGGGUACUAGGUGUGGGGUCCAUUCCACGGGUUCCGUGCCGUAGCUAACGCUUUAAGUACCCCGCCUGGGGAGUACGGCCGCAAGGCUAAAACUCAAAGGAAUUGACGGGGCCCCGCACAAGCGGCGGAGCAUGCGGAUUAAUUCGAUGCAACGCGUAGAACCUUACCUGGGUUUGACAUGGAUCGGGAGUGCUCAGAGAUGGGUGUGCCUCUUUUGGGGUCGGUUCACAGGUGGUGCAUGCCUGUCGUCAGCUCGUGUCGUGAGAUGUUGGGUUAAGUCCCGCAACGAGCGCAACCCUUGUUCACUGUUGCCAGCACGUUAUGGUGGGGACUCAGUGGAGACCGCCGGGGUCAACUCGGAGGAAGGUGGGGAUGACGUCAAGUCCUCAUGCCCCUUAUGUCCAGGGCUUCACGCAUGCUACAAUGGCUGGUACAGAGAGUGGCGAGCCUGUGAGGGUGAGCGAAUCUCGGAAAGCCGGUCUCAGUUCGGAUUGGGGUCUGCAACUCGACCUCAUGAAGUCGGAGUCGCUAGUAAUCGCAGAUCAGCAACGCUGCGGUGAAUACGUUCCCGGG
RNAcentral lists this ribosomal RNA (1343 nucleotides) under uncultured bacterium. Its description in RNAcentral is "16S ribosomal RNA". It matches the Rfam family "Bacterial small subunit ribosomal RNA", at positions 28 to 1378 of the family's 1533-position model. The record is from RNAcentral.